UGGGACUGUAGUUCAGUUGGUUAGAAUGCCUGCCUGUCACGCAGGAGGUCGCGGGUUCGAGCCCCGUCAGUCCCGU
RNAcentral lists this transfer RNA (76 nucleotides) under Stanieria sp. RNAcentral describes it as "tRNA-Asp". It matches the Rfam family "tRNA". Rfam says of the family: Transfer RNA (tRNA) molecules are approximately 80 nucleotides in length. Their secondary structure includes four short double-helical elements and three loops (D, anti-codon, and T loops). RNAcentral also lists the same sequence under 1 other name. Lineage: Bacteria; Bacillati; Cyanobacteriota; Cyanophyceae; Pleurocapsales; Dermocarpellaceae. The record is from RNAcentral.